Molecule: long non-coding RNA, 231 nt
Filed under: Lathyrus oleraceus (garden pea)
Lineage: Eukaryota; Viridiplantae; Streptophyta; Magnoliopsida; Fabales; Fabaceae
Description: Pisum sativum (pea) long non-coding RNA (PSAT_LNC033930)
Source: RNAcentral
UUGGAGUGGCAGUCACCCACCUUUUAUUUAUUUUUUGUAGUCACACGAAUAUGUUCUUGGCGAGGAUUUUCUUUUUUAUCCUUCUUUUUCUUCAUCGUUUUUGCUUUCCCUAAUUUUUGUCUGGACUGAUUUUUUGGGUUUACAAUCCACUGAGAUGCCCUAAUUUUUGCCUAAGUCACUUGUUUUCAAGUUUUUGACUUAGCGGGCUUUCUUUUUUUAUUUUAUUUUUUA